AUGAAAUUUCAUUAAAAGAAAAGUACAUUACAGCCUAUUCUAAUUAUCUACACGGGAUGGAGGGAAAACUGUCCUUAAAGGACUUACACGCCUAGGGGCAUUAUCAUCUAUCCUAGCAUCUACACUGUCUACACCAACAUUAUUUACACUGCUGCCAUGGGAGGCCCAGCACCCUCCUACUCAGACCCUCCAGUGCCUACGAAAGGCACGAUCUCCUGUCCCUGAGGACCAGCAUCUUCAUCUUCUAGCUCGGGUUCUGC
This 260-nucleotide long non-coding RNA is filed under the name Manihot esculenta (cassava). RNAcentral describes it as "long non-coding RNA (MESC_LNC008522)". Lineage: Eukaryota; Viridiplantae; Streptophyta; Magnoliopsida; Malpighiales; Euphorbiaceae. The record is from RNAcentral.